This 693-nucleotide ribosomal RNA is filed under the name uncultured Bacilli bacterium. Its description in RNAcentral is "bacterial SSU rRNA". It matches the Rfam family "Bacterial small subunit ribosomal RNA", at positions 57 to 735 of the family's 1533-position model. The record is from RNAcentral. Lineage: Bacteria; Bacillati; Bacillota; Bacilli.
GCAAGUAGAACGCUGAAGGAGGAGCUUGCUCUUCUGGAUGAGUUGCGAACGGGUGAGUAACGCGUAGGUAACCUGCCUGGUAGCGGGGGAUAACUAUUGGAAACGAUAGCUAAUACCGCAUAAGAGUAGAUGUUGCAUGACAUUUGCUUAAAGGGUGCAAUUGCACCACUACCAGAUGGACCUGCGUUGUAUUAGCUAGUUGGUGGGGUAACGGCUCACCAAGGCGACGAUACAUAGCCGACCUGAGAGGGUGAUCGGCCACACUGGGACUGAGACACGGCCCAGACUCCUACGGGAGGCAGCAGUAGGGAAUCUUCGGCAAUGGACGGAAGUCUGACCGAGCAACGCCGCGUGAGUGAAGAAGGUUUUCGGAUCGUAAAGCUCUGUUGUAAGAGAAGAACGAGUGUGAGAGUGGAAAGUUCACACUGUGACGGUAUCUUACCAGAAAGGGACGGCUAACUACGUGCCAGCAGCCGCGGUAAUACGUAGGUCCCGAGCGUUGUCCGGAUUUAUUGGGCGUAAAGCGAGCGCAGGCGGUUAGAUAAGUCUGAAGUUAAAGGCUGUGGCUUAACCAUAGUACGCUUUGGAAACUGUUUAACUUGAGUGCAAGAGGGGAGAGUGGAAUUCCAUGUGUAGCGGUGAAAUGCGUAGAUAUAUGGAGGAACACCGGUGGCGAAAGCGGCUCUCUGGCUU